Molecule: long non-coding RNA, 678 nt
Filed under: Mytilus galloprovincialis (Mediterranean mussel)
Lineage: Eukaryota; Metazoa; Mollusca; Bivalvia; Mytilida; Mytilidae
Source: RNAcentral
AAUAUAUUGCCACCUUCUAAUUAUAUUUUAAAUAGACUAUCAUUACUCCAUAAAUAUGGACUUAAGAUUACACUUUUUAAGUACAUUUGUACAAUUUGAAGACAUGCAAUGAGGAAAUGGUCAGAACCAAUUCAAGUACCUACAACUUCAAAGUUGAAUGACCUUGCUUCGCUUAUUUAUUUUAAAAGGGGUUCAUACCCUAAACAACACAUAGCUGUUUAUAUAGCUGUCACUAUCAGUGUAAUACGUAUUGUUCAAUAAACAUGAUAAAUUACAAGUGUUGUAACAGGGUUCUAAAUAAGACAAAUCCACAUGGAACAUAAAACCUGUCUCUUUUAUAAUCAUUAUUCAGUCCAAUGAUGCAUCUCUUUUUUUGUCAUGAUUGUAGCAAAAUACAAAAUAUUAAAUUCAAAUUUGAUGUCAUUCAAUGCUCUUUUCGUCAUGGAAACUUAAAUAAUAUUAUACAAUAGCAAUAACAUUUAGUUGUCUUUCUCACUGGUGGACUGGCUAUGGCCAAAUAUUAUGAGUCCCUCGACUAGCCUACAUGUGUACAUUUUUUGUAAGUGAGAACCCUGGGUAAUACACCAAGAAAUCUGGACAAACAAAAUUCCUUUGAACCAUUUUACCUGGGGAAUUGUUAUACACAAUCUAGGUAAUUCAUAGAAUCUAUAAAAAAAA